RNAcentral lists this ribosomal RNA (403 nucleotides) under bacterium. Its description in RNAcentral is "partial 16S ribosomal RNA". It matches the Rfam family "Bacterial small subunit ribosomal RNA", at positions 355 to 776 of the family's 1533-position model. The record is from RNAcentral.
UGGGGUAUAUUGCACAAUGGAGGGAACUCUGAUGCAGCGACGCUGCGUGAACGAAGAAGGCUUUCGAGUCGUAAAGUUCUUUUAUAUGGGAAGAUAAUGACGGUACCAUAAGAAGAAGCCCCGGCUAACUACGUGCCAGCAGCCGCGGUAAUACGUAGGGGGCUAGCGUUGUCCGGAAUCACUGGGCGUAAAGGGUUCGCAGGCGGAAAUGCAAGUCAGGUGUAAAAGGCAGUAGCUUAACUACUGUAAGCAUUUGAAACUGCAUAUCUUGAGAAGAGUAGAGGUAAGUGGAAUUUUUAGUGUAGCGGUGAAAUGCGUAGAUAUUAAAAAGAAUACCGGUGGCGAAGGCGACUUACUGGGCUCAUUCUGACGCUGAGGAACGAAAGCGUGGGUAGCAAACAGG